CACGGUCACCCUGCUUUUUUCGUGCGAACAAGUUGCCAUUUUUCUGCCAGACAAAUUGAUACUCUUUUUCUGCAGCCUUUUCUCUCAGCAUCCAGAGAAGCUUCUUGUUCGUGGUGGUCAAAUUAUCAAGAAACCAGACGUCUGAUCGGGUUUCUUUUAGCAUGCAGAUUUCUUCGGUAUCUUGGGUUCCCUCAACUUUUUCCACUCGUCUUCUCAACUAAUUCCUGCCUAAGAUGCGGUUCCUGUUCGGGCUUCUGCGUUCCUGGGCUUUGAAUGCCUCGGCUCUUCGCGGUAAGGCAUG
This is a long non-coding RNA of Ixodes scapularis (black-legged tick), 301 nucleotides long. RefSeq lists it as uncharacterized. NCBI's taxonomy places the organism in Eukaryota, Metazoa, Arthropoda, Arachnida, Ixodida, Ixodidae. The record is from RefSeq and is a predicted model, not a curated record. The transcript is spliced from 3 exons.